CGCUUGUUUGAUUUGAUGCAGAGUGGAAAUCAGGUUUUUCUCCUCAGGUUGUAUAUUGCAUACUGCAAGAUACUGCCAAUACCAAAGACUCAUUGGCCUGAUUUUUUACACAGAAAAGCGUCCUAAUGGUUGGUGCCAGAAUGACAACCUUCAGAAUUAAAUCUUCUAGUUAAUAUAACAAAUCAGAAGAGGUACCGGUUUCUUCAUGAUAUCUGGACAGUGAAUUUUCAAGAUGAGCUCUGUCUGAGCCAUUUAACUCAAAAAGAAAGGGUAGCAAAUAACCAAACCAGUUCAUAUUCCUGUGGAAUAUUUGUCAAAGUACAUCUAAAAAGUUUAGUUAAAAAAACCUGAUAAUAAAAAAACUGUCUUUGACCUUCUUUUAGUAAAAUGAGAUGUUUGGGUAAGGCAGUGGUAUUGCAUACAUCCCAUGGAAAAUAGUUUAUUACAGUUUCAAGAUACAGACUGGUCCAUCUCUAGUUUCAGCUCUAACACUCAGCGCUUUAGGGCCUGAAAGGUUGGCUUCAGUUCCUGGUAUGACCACAGGGUGGUUAUUGCAGAAAUACAGCAGAAAUACUUUUCCUUCAGCUAGUCACGACAGUGUGAGAUGAGAGGUUGGAAAAGCAAUUGCCAAGUACCUUGUAGCCUCCUUUUUCAUCAAGGUGAGACCCUCUCCUAGUAUGUGAUCUACAGCAGGCUACACUGAAUCAUACGAUGACAAUGUUAUCGCUGCCACAUCUCUGGGAACCCGUUCAUAAUUAUACGGACUGUCUACUUAAGAAGCUCAGAGUGAGUUAGAAACGUUGAUGAAGCCUCUGUUCUGUGAGGUGGAAGAGAGUGUGAACAGCCACAUUCACUGGAGUAGUGAACCAAAUUGCCUUGACUGGAACCAUUAUUCACUUGCACCUUUGACAUCAGCAGCCAGGUAGGGGAAGAAAAGAAAGUGUUUUGAAUGAACUGAGGUAGCAGGCCUCGGUGAAUUUUGUUUCAUUCUCAGAAGGCUUCAAGUGGAACUCACUCACAUUUAUAUACUAACUAAUUGUAAAUACUAGCUACUUUUGUUGCAAGUGAACUCAUCUCUUGCUGAAGUAGGUUCUUCUCUUUUUGGACAGGUUAUGCUUUUGUGGAUUUGGAAGUGCUGUCUUUGCUUGGCACACAUAUUUGGAUGGCCUCUUUCCUGUCCCUGUAUGAUUCUUGCAUGAAGCAUCCAGGGAGCAUGCUUUUUGCAACAAAUAAGUAGACAAAUGUGCUUAUAAGAAACAGAAAAAAAAGUGGUGGGUGAGGUUUUGUUAUCUGGAAACAGUUUUGUUCAAUUUGUCUUGCCAUGUCAAAUGUACUGCUGAUGGUAUUUGUUGAAGAUCAAGGUGUAUUUUUUCCUGUGGCUCUUGAAUACUUGGGAACAUAUGAACUGCAGUUCCAAAAGUAAUGACGCUGUAGUAUAGUGUCUCGGUACCUAAGCUAGUUUAAAAUUAGUGAACACCCAGUAGCAGUUUAGCUCUGCUAACUGGCAUCUGAGGGCCACUUUAUCUUGUCAAGAAGAGGUCUGUUUGCAUCUUCUCAUUGCAGCUCUGUAUUUAUUUGGAAUGGUAGUCACAGGUUGGACAGGCUUCACGUUGAGU
This 1616-nucleotide long non-coding RNA is filed under the name Struthio camelus australis. Its description in RNAcentral is "lncRNA (ENSSCUG00000007447.1)". Lineage: Eukaryota; Metazoa; Chordata; Aves; Struthioniformes; Struthionidae. The record is from RNAcentral.